RNAcentral lists this ribosomal RNA (251 nucleotides) under uncultured bacterium. Its description in RNAcentral is "partial 16S ribosomal RNA". It matches the Rfam family "Bacterial small subunit ribosomal RNA", at positions 526 to 776 of the family's 1533-position model. The record is from RNAcentral.
CGUAGGUGGCGAGCGUUGUCCGGAAUUACUGGGUGUAAAGCGCGUGUAGGCGGGAGGCCAAGUCUGCGGUGAAAUCGCUCGGCUCAACUGGGCGGGGUCCGUGGAAACUGGUCACCUGGAGGACGGUAGAGGCGAGUGGAAUUCCCGGUGUAGUGGUGAAAUGCGUAGAGAUCGGGAGGAACACCAGUGGCGAAGGCGGCUCGCUGGGCCGGACCUGACGCUGAGACGCGAAGGCGUGGGGAGCGAACGGG